AGUGAACGCUGGCGGUAGGCCUAACACAUGCAAGUCGAACGGCAGCACAGUAAGAGCUUGCUCUUACGGGUGGCGAGUGGCGGACGGGUGAGGAAUACAUCGGAAUCUACUUUUUCGUGGGGGAUAACGUAGGGAAACUUACGCUAAUACCGCAUACGACCUACGGGUGAAAGCAGGGGAUCUUCGGACCUUGCGCGAUUGAAUGAGCCGAUGUCGGAUUAGCUAGUUGGCGGGGUAAAGGCCCACCAAGGCGACGAUCCGUAGCUGGUCUGAGAGGCUGAUCAGCCACAUUGGAGCUUGACCACGGUCCAGACUCCUACGGGAGGCAGCAGUGGGGAAUAUUGGACAAUGGGCGCAAGCCUGAUCCAGCCAUACCGCGUGGGUGAAGAAGGCCUUCGGGUUGUAAAGCCCUUUUGUUGGGAAAGAAAAGCAGCAGGUUAAUACCCCGCUGUUCUGACGGUACCCAAAGAAUAAGCACCGGCUAACUUCGUG
This 492-nucleotide ribosomal RNA is filed under the name uncultured bacterium. RNAcentral describes it as "partial 16S ribosomal RNA". It matches the Rfam family "Bacterial small subunit ribosomal RNA", at positions 29 to 507 of the family's 1533-position model. The record is from RNAcentral.